This 443-nucleotide ribosomal RNA is filed under the name uncultured bacterium. Its description in RNAcentral is "partial 16S ribosomal RNA". It matches the Rfam family "Bacterial small subunit ribosomal RNA", at positions 338 to 795 of the family's 1533-position model. The record is from RNAcentral.
CCUACGGGAGGCAGCAGUGGGGAAUAUUGGGCAAUGGGCGCAAGCCUGACCCAGCAACGCCGCGUGAAGGAAGAAGGCUUUCGGGUUGUAAACUUCUUUUCUCAGGGACGAAGCAAGUGACGGUACCUGAGGAAUAAGCCACGGCUAACUACGUGCCAGCAGCCGCGGGAAUACGUAGGUGGCAAGCGUUAUCCGGAUUUACUGGGUAUAAAGGGCGUGUAGGCGGGAAAGCAAGUCAGAUGUGAAAACCAUGGGCUCAACCUGUGGCCUGCAUUUGAAACUGUUUUUCUUGAGUACUGGAGAGGCAGACGGAAUUCCUAGUGGAGCGGUGAAAUGCGUAGAUAUUAGGAGGAACACCAGUGGCGAAGGCGGUCUGCUGGACAGCAACUGACGCUGAGGCGCGAAAGCGUGGGGAGCGAACAGGAUUAGAUACCCGGGUAGUC